RNAcentral lists this ribosomal RNA (253 nucleotides) under uncultured bacterium. RNAcentral describes it as "partial 16S ribosomal RNA". It matches the Rfam family "Bacterial small subunit ribosomal RNA", at positions 524 to 776 of the family's 1533-position model. The record is from RNAcentral.
UACGUAGGCAGCAAGCGUUGUUCGGAGUUACUGGGCGUAAAGGGUGUGUAGGCGGUUCUUUAAGUUUGCUGUGAAAUCUCCCGGCUUAACCGGGAGGGUGCGGUGAAUACUGAGGGACUAGAGUACGGGAGAGGAAAGUGGAAUUCCUGGUGUAGCGGUGAAAUGCGUAGAUAUCUGGAGGAACACCGGUGGCGAAGGCGGCGUUCUGGACUGCAACUGACACUGAGGAACCAAAGCCAGGGUAGCAAACGGG